RNAcentral lists this ribosomal RNA (468 nucleotides) under uncultured bacterium. RNAcentral's name for it is "partial 16S ribosomal RNA". It matches the Rfam family "Bacterial small subunit ribosomal RNA", at positions 28 to 507 of the family's 1533-position model. The record is from RNAcentral.
GACGAACGCUGGCGGCGUGCUUAACACAUGCAAGUCGAACGGAAAGGCCCUGCUUUUGUGGGGUGCUCGAGUGGCGAACGGGUGAGUAACACGUGAGUAACCUGCCCUUGACUUUGGGGUAACUUCAGGAAACUGGGGCUAAUACCGGAUAGGAGCUCCUGCUGCAUGGUGGGGGUUGGAAAGUUUCGGCGGUUGGGGAUGGACUCGCGGCUUAUCAGCUUGUUGGUGGGGUAGUGGCUUACCAAGGCUUUGACGGGUAGCCGGCCUGAGAGGGUGACCGGCCACAUUGGGACUGAGAUACGGCCCAGACUGCUACGGGAGGCAGGAGGGGGGAAUAUAGCACAAUGGGCGGAAGCCUGAUGCAGGAACGCCGCGUGCGUGAUGACGGCCUUCGGGUUGUAAACCGCUUUCGCCUGUGACGAAGCGUUAGUGACGGUAAUGGGUAAAGAAGCACCGGCUAACUACGUG